Molecule: ribosomal RNA, 253 nt
Filed under: uncultured bacterium
Lineage: Bacteria
Description: partial 16S ribosomal RNA
Rfam family: Bacterial small subunit ribosomal RNA
Source: RNAcentral
GACAGAGGAUGCAAGCGUUAUCCGGAAUGAUUGGGCGUAAAGCGUCUGUAGGUGGCUUUUCAAGUCCGCCGUCAAAUCCCAGGGCUCAACCCUGGACAGGCGGUGGAAACUACCAAGCUGGAGUACGGUAGGGGCAGAGGGAAUUUCCGGUGGAGCGGUGAAAUGCGCAGAUAUCAGGAGGAACACCGGUGGCGAAGGCGGGUCUCUGGGCCGUAACUGACGCUGAGGAGCGAAAGCAUGGGGAGCGAACAGG